AGUGGCGGACGGGUGAGUAACGCGUGAGAAUCUGCCUUGGGGUCGGGGACAACCACUGGAAACGGUGGCUAAUACCGGAUACGCCUUCGGGUAAAAGAUUUAUUGCCCUAAGAGGAGCUCGCGUCUGAUUAGCUAGUUGGUGAGGUAAGAGCUCACCAAGGCAGCGAUCAGUAGCUGGUCUGAGAGGACGAUCAGCCACACUGGGACUGAGACACGGCCCAGACUCCUACGGGAGGCAGCAGUGGGGAAUUUUCCGCAAUGGGCGAAAGCCUGACGGAGCAAGACCGCGUGAGGGAGGAAGGCUCUUGGGUUGUAAACCUCUUUUCUCAGGGAAGAAGCUCUGACGGUACCUGAGGAAUCAGCCUCGGCUAACUCCGUGCCAGCAGCCGCGGUAAUACGGAGGAGGCAAGCGUUAUCCGGAAUUAUUGGGCGUAAAGCGUCCGCAGGUGGCGAUUCAAGUCUGCUGUCAAAGCACGGGGCUUAACUCCGUAAAGGCAGUGGAAACUGAAUAGCUAGAGUGCCGUAGGGGUAGAGGGAAUUCCCGGUGUAGCGGUGAAAUGCGUAGAGAUCGGGAAGAACAUCGGUGGCGAAAAGCGCUCUACUGGACGGCAACUGACACUCAGGGACGAAAGCUAGGGGAGCGAAUGGGAUUAGAUACCCC
RNAcentral lists this ribosomal RNA (661 nucleotides) under uncultured bacterium. RNAcentral's name for it is "bacterial SSU rRNA". It matches the Rfam family "Bacterial small subunit ribosomal RNA", at positions 94 to 788 of the family's 1533-position model. The record is from RNAcentral.